UGAUGCCUGGUGUGGCUGGCAUGGAGAAGAUCCUGUAAAGAAGAGAAUUCAUUUAUUCAUUUUUUCAUUCAGUACAUAUUUGUUGAGAUCUGCCUGGCAUUUUUGUAGGUAUUGGGGAUAUAGCAGUGAGCAAAACAAAGUCCUUGCCCUCCUGCAGUUGGGGGCUAGGGAGAGGCAGAAAAAAAGUCAGUCAGUCUAAUUGAUAGUGAUUAGUUGGUAUGUAAGUGAGGAGGAGGAGGGUUACAGUUCUAGAGGGAGAUGCUUGUUUGGAAGGUGAGGGAGUGAGUCAGGCAAGUAUCUGGAGAGAGUCCCCAAGCGAGGGUGUACAGCAAGUGCAAAGACUGGAAAGUGGGACGGGUUGGUCUGUUCCAGAACCAGCAUGGAGGCCGGUGUGGCUGGAGAACACUGAGCGAGGGGAGCUUAGUAGGAGGUGCAGCCAGCUCUGUGGAGGGUCUCCCAGGCCAUGGCGAGGAUGUCUACCCUGAGGUAGUAGCUAGCGCAGGAGUGUGAGAAGUGGGGAGAUCUGACGUAAGCUGUAACUUGAUCACUUUGGCAGUGGGAACCAGUUGAGAAUCAGCUGAAAGGAGGACGGGUGAGGAGGGAAGCGGGGAGACCAAUGAGAAGCUUUUACAAUAAUCUGGGCAAAAUGAAGGCGGCUAGACUGGGGUGGAGGCAGGAGAGGCUGUGACAAGUUGGAUUCUGGGUAUAUUUUGAAGGUAAGAGUUAAUAAGAGUUGCUAAUGGAUCGGAUACAGGUUGUGAGAGGGACAAGUCAAGAAUGAUACCAAGGUUUUGGCCUCCGGCUUGAACAACUGGAAGAAUAGAGUUGCUGUUAGCUGAGAUGAGAAGACUGUAAAAGGAGCAGGGUUUAGGACAAAGUAAGUUUGAGGUGGGUGUUAGGCAGACACCUGGGGCUGUUGAGAAGAUGGUUCUUUUAUAGGAAAAGUCUCUGAUGGAGAUAAAAAUCUGAGAGUCAUCAGUGAAUUGAUGGUAUUUAAAACCACAGGACCAGAUGCAACAAAAUGGGUGUAGAUAGACAAGACAGGAGGCCCCAGACUGAGCCCAGGGCAGUCUGGAGGUUGGUGAGCUGAGGGACCAGCACAGGACACUGAGAAGAACCAGCAAGGACUAACAGUUGCAACUUAGUGUGGGAUUGCUCUUGGAAAAAAAACAGCAGGGGCCAUUCUGAUGGGAGCCAAACGGACAGCAGAGGUUGGGGGAUGCUUUGGAUUUGCCAGCACUUGGCCACGGCUCAACCUAGUCUCAGUUCACAAAUGAUUCAAGCCCUGAGCAAGCCAUCAGUUGGAACUGAGCAUCAACUGCCCCCUGAGAUGAUGGAUGCGUGGAUCAUCACAGCCCACCCUUCACUCACGUCACCUGUGUGGCCCUGAAGCUUGCUCUUACUGGGUGCUGAGACAUCACUCCGAGUUUUCCA
Long non-coding RNA from Eubalaena glacialis (North Atlantic right whale), 1434 nucleotides. RefSeq lists it as uncharacterized. The record is from RefSeq and is a predicted model, not a curated record. NCBI's taxonomy places the organism in Eukaryota, Metazoa, Chordata, Mammalia, Artiodactyla, Balaenidae. The transcript is spliced from 4 exons.